This 254-nucleotide ribosomal RNA is filed under the name uncultured bacterium. RNAcentral describes it as "partial 16S ribosomal RNA". It matches the Rfam family "Bacterial small subunit ribosomal RNA", at positions 524 to 776 of the family's 1533-position model. The record is from RNAcentral.
UACGUAGGGAGCAAGCGUUGUCCGGAAUCAUUGGGCGUAAAGAGCGUGUAGGCGGCCAUGCAGGUCCGUUGUGAAAACUCGAGGCUCAGCCUCGAGACGUCGAUGGAAACCGCAUGGCUAGAGUCCGGAAGAGGAGAGUGGAAUUCCUGGUGUAGCGGUGAAAUGCGCAGAUACUCAGGAGGAACACCGGUGGCGAAGGCGCACAUCUGGCCCGAUACUGACGCUGAGGCGCGAAAGCUAGGGGAGCAAACGGG